AGAGUUUGAUCCUGGCUCAGGAUGAACGCUGGCGGCGUGCUUAACACAUGCAAGUCGAACGAACCUUCGGGUUAGUGGCGGACGGGUGAGUAACGCGUGAGAAUCUGCCCUCAGGAGGGGGAUAACGGCUGGAAACGGCCGCUAAUACCCCAUAUGCCGAGAGGUGAAAUGAAUUUCGCCUGAGGAUGAGCUCGCGUCUGAUUAGCUAGUUGGUGUGGUAAAGGCUCACCAAGGCAUCGAUCAGUAGCUGGUCUGAGAGGAUGAUCAGCCACACUGGGACUGAGACACGGCCCAGACUCCUACGGGAGGCAGCAGUGGGGAAUUUUCCGCAAUGGGCGCAAGCCUGACGGAGCAACGCCGCGUGAGGGAUGAAGGCCUCUGGGCUGUAAACCUCUUUUAUCAAGGAAGAAGAUCUGACGGUACUUGAUGAAUAAGCCACGGCUAAUUCCGUGCCAGCAGCCGCGGUAAUACGGGAGUGGCAAGCGUUAUCCGGAAUUAUUGGGCGUAAAGCGUCCGCAGGCGGUCUUGAAAGUCUGUUGUUAAAGCGUGGAGCUCAACUCCAUUUCAGCAAUGGAAACUAGAAGACUAGAGUGUGGUAGGGGCAGAGGGAAUUCCCGGUGUAGCGGUGAAAUGCGUAGAUAUCGGGAAGAACACCAGUGGCGAAGGCGCUCUGCUGGGCCAUAACUGACGCUCAUGGACGAAAGCCAGGGGAGCGAAAGGGAUUAGAUACCCCUGUAGUCCUGGCCGUAAACGAUGAACACUAGGUGUCGGGGGAAUCGACCCCCUCGGUGUCGUAGCCAACGCGUUAAGUGUUCCGCCUGGGGAGUACGCACGCAAGUGUGAAACUCAAAGGAAUUGACGGGGGCCCGCACAAGCGGUGGAGUAUGUGGUUUAAUUCGAUGCAACGCGAAGAACCUUACCAGGGUUUGACAUCCUGCGAAUCCCUUGGAAACUUGGGAGUGCCUUCGGGAGCGCAGUGACAGGUGGUGCAUGGCUGUCGUCAGCUCGUGUCGUGAGAUGUUGGGUUAAGUCCCGCAACGAGCGCAACCCACGUCUUUAGUUGCCAGCAUUAAGUUGGGCGCUCUAGAGAGACUGCCGGUGAUAAACCGGAGGAAGGUGUGGAUGACGUCAAGUCAUCAUGCCCCUUACAUCCUGGGCUACACACGUACUACAAUGCUACGGACAAAGGGCAGCAAACUCGCGAGAGCUAGCAAAUCCCAUAAACCGUGGCUCAGUUCAGAUCGUAGGCUGCAACUCGCCUACGUGAAGGAGGAAUCGCUAGUAAUCGCAGGUCAGCAUACUGCGGUGAAUACUUUCCCGGGCCUUGUACACACCGCCCGUCACACCAUGGAAGUUGGCCACGCCCGAAGUCGUUACUCCAACCCGCAAGGGAGGAGGAUGCCGAAGGUGGGGCUGAUGACUGGGGUGAAGUCGUAACAAGGUA
RNAcentral lists this ribosomal RNA (1444 nucleotides) under metagenome. Its description in RNAcentral is "bacterial SSU rRNA". It matches the Rfam family "Bacterial small subunit ribosomal RNA". The record is from RNAcentral.